UGAGGAAUUUUCCGCAAUGGGCGAAAGCCUGACGGAGCGACGCCGCGUGUGGGAUGAAGGCCUUCGGGUCGUAAACCACUGUCGAAGGGGAAGAUAUUGACGGUACCCUUGGAGGAAGCCCCGGCUAACUACGUGCCAGCAGCCGCGGUAAGACGUAGGGGGCGAGCGUUAUUCGGAAUUAUUGGGCGUAAAGAGUUCGUAGGCGGUUUGAAAAGUCCGUGAAGAAAGACCUGGGCUCAACCCAGGGAACGGCACGGAUACUUUUAAACUUGAGGCAAUCAGAGGGUAAUGGAAUUCCUGGUGUAGCGGUGAAAUGCGUAGAUAUCAGGAGGAACAUCAGUGGCGAAGGCGAUUACCUGGGGUUGAACUGACGCUGAGGAACGAAAGCUAGGGGAGCAAACGGGAUUAGAUACCCCCGUAGUCC
RNAcentral lists this ribosomal RNA (424 nucleotides) under uncultured bacterium. Its description in RNAcentral is "bacterial SSU rRNA". It matches the Rfam family "Bacterial small subunit ribosomal RNA", at positions 355 to 796 of the family's 1533-position model. The record is from RNAcentral.